Molecule: unclassified non-coding RNA, 436 nt
Filed under: Hevea brasiliensis (rubber tree)
Lineage: Eukaryota; Viridiplantae; Streptophyta; Magnoliopsida; Malpighiales; Euphorbiaceae
Source: RNAcentral
AUUGGUUGGACAGGAAAAAGAUUAAUGAGAUAUAUCGCUAUAAAACAGAAGAAUAUUCUACAGAUGCCAUCAACAAGUUCAAUAUCUACCCAGAUCAAAUUCCAUCUUGGCUUGUGGAUUGGAUUCCAGAGAUUGGUGGAUAUCUUGUUGGCAAUUUACAACCUGCACAUAUGGAUUUUCGUUUUUUCACUCAUGGAAAUAUUUGGACCAUUAUUUCAUCACUAGGAUCUCAUGAACAGAAUGAAUCUAUAUUUUGAAUUUGAUUGAAGACAAAUGGGAUGACCUCAUGGGGAAAAUGCCUCUAAAGAUUUGUUACCCAGCUUUAGAACAUGAAGAAUGGCGCAUUAUCACUGGCAGUGACCCUAAGAAUACCCCCUGGUCAUAUCAUAAUGGUGGUUCAUGGCCUACUCUACUGUGGCAGUUUACCCUUGCUUGU